Molecule: non-coding RNA, 516 nt
Organism: Esox lucius (northern pike)
Lineage: Eukaryota; Metazoa; Chordata; Actinopteri; Esociformes; Esocidae
Source: the annotation of a RefSeq genome assembly
UCAGUCACAACAACACCUCCCAGUCUCUUCUUCUACAUCCAGAACUUGUGAACCUAAACGAUGAGAGUUCUAGAAUGUGUGUUCCUCCUAGCUGUCAUCUCUGCUGUUCAGGGACAGUCACUCACCUCCUCUGAAUCAGUGGUGAAGAGACCUGGAGAGCCAGUAACACUGUCCUGUACUGUGUCUGGAUUCUCCAUGGGAAGCUACUGGAUGCACUGGAUCCGUCAGAAACCAGGAAAAGGACUAGAGUGGAUUGGACGGAUUGAUACUGGCACUGGCACUAUAUUUGCCCAGUCAUUGCAAGGCCAGUUCAGUAUCACCAAAGACAACUCCAAAAACCAGCUGAACUUAGAAGUGAAAAGCCUGAAAGCUGAAGACUCUGCUGUUUAUUAUUGUGCCAGAGACACAGUGACACAGAAGACUGCAGCACAUUACAAAAACUGAUCAACCCUGAUCUCAGUGAGGCAACGAUGCAUCUGUGUAAUUUUAUUCACAAGCACACGUUGGCACACUGAU